Molecule: ribosomal RNA, 789 nt
Filed under: uncultured bacterium
Lineage: Bacteria
Description: bacterial SSU rRNA
Rfam family: Bacterial small subunit ribosomal RNA
Source: RNAcentral
AGAGUUUGAUCAUGGCUCAGGACGAACGCUGGCGGCGUGCUUAACACAUGCAAGUCGAACGGAAAGGCCCCUUCGGGGGUACUCGAGUGGCGAACGGGUGAGUAACACGUGGGUGAUCUGCCCUGCACUUUGGGAUAAGCCUGGGAAACUGGGUCUAAUACCGAAUAGGACCGCAUGCUUCAUGGUGUGUGGUGGAAAGCUUUUGCGGUGUGGGAUGGGCCCGCGGCCUAUCAGCUUGUUGGUGGGGUAAUGGCCUACCAAGGCGACGACGGGUAGCCGGCCUGAGAGGGUGUCCGGCCACACUGGGACUGAGAUACGGCCCAGACUCCUACGGGAGGCAGCAGUGGGGAAUAUUGCACAAUGGGCGCAAGCCUGAUGCAGCGACGCCGCGUGGGGGAUGACGGCCUUCGGGUUGUAAACCUCUUUCAGUAUCGGCGAAGCUCCAGGAUUUUUCUUGGGGUGACGGUAGGUACAGAAGAAGCACCGGCCAACUACGUGCCAGCAGCCGCGGUAAUACGUAGGGUGCGGGCGUUGUCCGGAAUUACUGGGCGUAAAGAGCUCGUAGGUGGUUUGUCACGUUGUCUGUGAAAACUCACAGCUUAACUGUGGGCGUGCGGGCGAUACGGGCAGACUGGAGUACUGUAGGGGAGACUGGAAUUCCUGGUGUAGCGGUGGAAUGCGCAGAUAUCAGGAGGAACACCGGUGGCGAAGGCGGGUCUCCGGGCAGUAACUGACGCUGAGGAGCGAAAGCGUGGGGAGCGAACAGGAUUAGAUACCCUGGUAGUCCAA